Molecule: ribosomal RNA, 253 nt
Filed under: uncultured bacterium
Lineage: Bacteria
Description: partial 16S ribosomal RNA
Rfam family: Bacterial small subunit ribosomal RNA
Source: RNAcentral
GACAGAGGGUGCAAACGUUGUUCGGAAUUACUGGGCGUAAAGCGCGUGUAGGCGGCAAUAUAAGUCGGCUGUGAAAUCCCGCGGCUCAACCGUGGAAGUGCACCCGAAACUGUAUCGCUAGAGUCCCGGAGAGGAUGGUGGAAUACUUGGUGUAGAGGUGAAAUUCGUAGAUAUCAAGUGGAACACCGGUGGCGAAGGCGGCCAUCUGGACGGUGACUGACGCUGAGACGCGAAAGCGUGGGUAGCAAACAGG